AGUGAACGCUGGCGGUAGGCCUAACACAUGCAAGUCGAACGGCAGCACAGUAAGAGCUUGCUCUUACGGGUGGCGAGUGGCGGACGGGUGAGGAAUACAUCGGAAUCUACUUUUUCGUGGGGGAUAACGUAGGGAAACUUACGCUAAUACCGCAUACGACCUACGGGUGAAAGCAGGGGAUCUUCGGACCUUGCGCGAUUGAAUGAGCCGAUGUCGGAUUAGCUAGUUGGCGGGGUAAGGGCCCACCAAGGCGACGAUCCGUAGCUGGUCUGAGAGGAUGAUCAGCCACACUGGAACUGAGACACGGUCCAGACUCCUACGGGAGGCAGCAGUGGGGAAUAUUGGACAAUGGGCGCAAGCCUGAUCCAGCCAUACCGCGUGGGUGAAGAAGGCCUUCGGGUUGUAAAGCCCUUUUGUUGGGAAAGAAAAGCAGCAGGUUAAUACCCCGCUGUUCUGACGGUACCCAGAGAAUAAGCACCGGCUAACUUCGUG
Molecule: ribosomal RNA, 492 nt
Filed under: uncultured bacterium
Lineage: Bacteria
Description: partial 16S ribosomal RNA
Rfam family: Bacterial small subunit ribosomal RNA
Source: RNAcentral